ACUCCUACGGGAGGCAGCAGUGGGGAAUAUUGCACAAUGGGCGCAAGCCUGAUGCAGCCAUGCCGCGUGUAUGAAGAAGGCCUUCGGGUUGUAAAGUACUUUCAGCGGGGAGGAAGGCAAUACGGUUAAUAACCGUGUUGAUUGACGUUACCCGCAGAAGAAGCACCGGCUAACUCCGUGCCAGCAGCCGCGGUAAUACGGAGGGUGCAAGCGUUAAUCGGAAUUACUGGGCGUAAAGCGCACGCAGGCGGUCUGUCAAGUCGGAUGUGAAAUCCCCGGGCUCAACCUGGGAACUGCAUUCGAAACUGGCAGGCUUGAGUCUUGUAGAGGGGGGUAGAAUUCCAGGUGUAGCGGUGAAAUGCGUAGAGAUCUGGAGGAAUACCGGUGGCGAAGGCGGCCCCCUGGACAAAGACUGACGCUCAGGUGCGAAAGCGUGGGGAGCAAACAGGAUUAGAUACCCUUGUAGUCCCAU
Molecule: ribosomal RNA, 472 nt
Filed under: uncultured organism
Description: partial 16S ribosomal RNA
Rfam family: Bacterial small subunit ribosomal RNA
Source: RNAcentral